Long non-coding RNA from Vicia villosa (hairy vetch), 376 nucleotides. RefSeq lists it as uncharacterized. The record is from RefSeq and is a predicted model, not a curated record. The transcript has 3 exons. NCBI's taxonomy places the organism in Eukaryota, Viridiplantae, Streptophyta, Magnoliopsida, Fabales, Fabaceae.
CUUCCCUCUGUUGGAAUUAGGUUUGGAACGAGAAUGAAUAUGAAAGAGCCGACGGGAACGAAAAGUUUAUUUUUCAACAGGUUGAACAAACUUGAAAUUUUCAUAUGGACUCAGAUUGAUGCUUUUGUGUACUAAAUGAUUAUUUGGAUGGAAGAGAACUAAGCACUUGAAACUUGGCUACUAUCAAAUUGUUGAAAUCAAAUGCAGCUCAAGGAAGGAAAAAAUUUAAUCAUGAAGUUGAAGUUUUGAGUUAUAUAAGACAUCCUAUAUAACGAUGGUCAGAACCUUUUUGACAGUUGUUAUUAUGGUAAGAGCUGAAGCGAUUCCGUGUUCGACAGCGAGACGGUAAUAAUUCUUAUUGGUUUUACAAUUCAAG